GACGAACGCUGGCGGCGUGCCUAACACAUGCAAGUCGAACGGGACCAGGGGCAACUCUGGUUCAGUGGCGGACGGGUGCGUAACACGUGAGGAACAUGACUUUCGGCGGGGGAGUAGCCGGCCCAACGGCCGGGUAAUACCGCGUACGACCUGUUGGGGACGAUCCCCGACUUGGUGAAAGCAGCAAUGCGCCGAAAGAGUGCCUCGCGGCCUAUCAGCUAGUUGGUGGGGUAAUGGCCCACCAAGGCGACGACGGGUAGCCGGCCUGAGAGGGCGACCGGCCACACUGGGACUGAGACACGGCCCAGACUCCUACGGGAGGCAGCAGUGGGGGAAUCUUGCGCAAUGGGGCGAAAGCCUGACGCAGCGACGCCGCGUGAGGGAUGACGGCCUCGGUUGUAAC
This 403-nucleotide ribosomal RNA is filed under the name uncultured bacterium. Its description in RNAcentral is "bacterial SSU rRNA". It matches the Rfam family "Bacterial small subunit ribosomal RNA", at positions 28 to 429 of the family's 1533-position model. The record is from RNAcentral.